Long non-coding RNA from Parus major (Great Tit), 825 nucleotides. RefSeq lists it as uncharacterized. NCBI's taxonomy places the organism in Eukaryota, Metazoa, Chordata, Aves, Passeriformes, Paridae. The record is from RefSeq and is a predicted model, not a curated record. The transcript has 3 exons.
GGAGGGCUUGUUGCCCCAGCUCACGUACAAAACAGAUCGGGGUAUGGAGGGGCUUCCCACCCCGCCUCACGUACAAAACAAAGCACUUCAACCUAAACUUAUAUACUGUAUGCUUAUACAUAUUCAUUCAUGUUUGCCAUAUGUUUCCUCCUAUUUCUGAUUUUUCUGACUUUACGUCACUUUUUUUCACGACACAUGCGUCACUUGUUGUUAGGGGGUCUUCAGUCUUCUUUUGGUGGUCUUUUGGUGAAGGCUUCUCCUCUUCCUCGUUGUCCUUUGGAUAACCUUUCAGGGCUGCAGGGGAAUCUCUGCUCUGGCACCUGCAGCUUCUCCUCACCUGGGGAGCUGCUCAAGGAGGAGGCACAACAGCAGUGAAAGGGACUUGGGACCAAAGGAGGCAUCAGCAGAGCAAGAAACAUUUCCCAAGCUGUUAGCAGCUUCAGCACCCAUUCCACUCUGUCAAUGGAACUCAAAACAGGAAAUCAGUUCAUCUAAGGAGAGGGAUUUCGCCCCAGUUGCUGGCUCUGCAGCAGGACAUCUGUUCCUGUCUCACCUGGCUGAUGUGUGGAAUGUGGUUUAUCAGCUGCAAAGCACCAUCAAGUUCCCAUCCCUGCAAGGAUUUCCACAGAGGCCGGCUGUGGUGUCUCCACUCUGUCCCACCCUCCAUCCCAUCCCCUUCAGCAGGUGUGUGUGUGGAUGGGAAAUCAUUUUGGAAUAGUUUUCAAGUCCUGCCAACUGCAUUCCAUCCAGGGAGCAGCAGCUAUGAUUUACUCUAUAAUUUCCAUACAGUUUUAACUCCUAUUAAAAUGCCAAUAUAACUCCUCA